UACGAAGGGGGCUAGCGUUGUUCGGAUUUACUGGGCGUAAAGCGCACGUAGGCGGAUCGUUAAGUCGGGGGUGAAAUCCUGGAGCUCAACUCCAGAACUGCCUUCGAUACUGGCGAUCUUGAGUCCGGAAGAGGUGAGUGGAACUCCUAGUGUAGAGGUGGAAUUCGUAGAUAUUAGGAAGAACACCGGUGGCGAAGGCGGCUCUCUGGACCGAUACUGACGCUGAGGCGCGAAAGCGUGGGGAGCAAACAGG
This 253-nucleotide ribosomal RNA is filed under the name uncultured bacterium. RNAcentral's name for it is "partial 16S ribosomal RNA". It matches the Rfam family "Bacterial small subunit ribosomal RNA", at positions 524 to 776 of the family's 1533-position model. The record is from RNAcentral.